Lepisosteus oculatus (spotted gar) is the source of this 1836-nucleotide long non-coding RNA. The record is from Ensembl. Lineage: Eukaryota; Metazoa; Chordata; Actinopteri; Semionotiformes; Lepisosteidae.
AUCACUCCAGUUCCCAUAUAAUCUCAGUAUUUUAUCGUGGAAGGUGAUUAUGAAGGUCGUUCUAUGUUUUCUUUCAGGCAACUUUUCUUUUCUUCUCUUUUCAGCAUGGAAUAAACCUUUACUUGUUCCUAAAUUACAAAAGCAUCAUAUAUUUUUAUAUGGUUAAAAAGCGAAAUCAGAUCAAAUAUCUGUUAAUAAUCACAAGCUGUUGUCAGUAAAAUGUAUAGUAUUGUUUCUGUAUGUUUGUUGGUCGCUGAAGUGAAACAAGAGAAGACAUGACAGACCCAAAGCAGGACUCGAGAGGGGAGCUCGUGAUGCCAGCACUGUUGACAGCUCUUCAAGGCAGAACUGUUAUGAUCUCAUCGGAAGUGAAGCAGUGCUGGUCCUCGUCAUUGCUGGGAUGGAAGACUUCAGUGGAAAUACCAGAUUGCCGCUCCUUGUGGUGCUGGUGGACCAGUAAGGGCGCUCAUUCCUCUGAGCUACAGUUUCGAAACCAGGGCACUGUGCAACAGGAGAUGCCAUGCUUCAGAUGAGAUGCUAAACCAAGGUCCAGGCUGCUUGGUCAUCAAUAAACCCCUUUCUUCUUGCAAAAGUGUUAACCCCAGUGUCCUGACUGGAGAAAGCUGACCUCCCUAAAGUUCCCUUUUAAUUCUGGUGCGGAAGAUACUUCUCUCUUCUCUAUCUGAGCUGCUGUUUAGGGGAAGCGAUGGCACAUAAUGUCUGCUGCAGGCCACCCAGGUGGAGGCUACACUUCAGUUGUGGAUGAACUGGGUUCUUCCUUAUGUAUGCAAAGCACUUUUCCUCUGGGUAAUACAUUAUAUACUGUAUAUGAAUGAAAACAAUAAAUACGUGAAUAGAAAAUGCCAAAGAAGAACACCUAAACCCUAAACUAUGCAAAGGUGUGUACAUUUCUUCAAAGUAAGUUACGUAUGAGCGUUCCACUAGUGUUGCUGUUUAACCGUGCUGCAGUGAAGGUGUUAAUGUGCCUUCAGGAACAGUCAGAUACACAUUCGCAAAAUUGGUCUCAAUGUGCAGCUGCUGAUACAGAACAGAUGAAGCAAAGAUUUCCAAGCAGCUGCAGGACCGCUGAGAUAUCUCGGAAAAGGGGGAGAGAAACAAGAUAACAGCUUAGCAAAGAUUUUUUAUACCCUUUUCAUUGUGACCAAAAUGGGGUGUGUACAGUAUGUGUGAGAAGGAGAGACAUUCAGAAAAUUUAGGAUUACCAAGUAAACGUUUCAUUUGAUGAUUUACCUUCAAGAAGGAUAGACCUUCCAAUAAUCAUUUCUAUUUCUUUUGUUUACACUUUUGACUGACAACAUUGUUCAAGCAUCAACACGUCUCCCCCUGUUUUACCUGGAUACAUUGUUCACAUUUACAGCAAAUAUUUUCAAGUUGGACAUUGAUGCCUGGGGCUCUUUUGACAGUGAAACUCCUUGGGGUUCUCUUCCCCCUGUCCUAACAUGCUACCCGCAGAGGCGUCUCUCCUCAGGGUGGGACUCUUUAAAUCUUUUGGCUACAGGAGCUGGGUGUGGUGACUCAAUUAUAUUUUUCACAAAAUGGUUCCCUUCAUUCACUCCCUACCUAAGACCUGAGCAGGACUAGGGAAACUCUGCCAAGUUCAAGUUAAUCAUUCUGGGAUGAAAGACUGCGCUUCUUCACAGAGAGCUAUAAACCCUGCCUGCUGUAACUUGCCUUGACACCUCAGGUUUUAAACAAGAUAUCCAAGAAGAUGGUGGCAUCUGAGCACAUAUCUGGGCACAGAGUUCAAGCCCAUUGGCACCAACUUAAAGAAAAUGUGGAAAAAAGAAACUGCCAGCUCAUUAUGUCCUUUCCAAA